GCUCAGCGGGUAGAGCAUGGUACUUGCAACGCCAGGGGUGUGGGUUUGAUUCCCAC
Molecule: transfer RNA, 56 nt
Filed under: Salmo salar (Atlantic salmon)
Lineage: Eukaryota; Metazoa; Chordata; Actinopteri; Salmoniformes; Salmonidae
Rfam family: tRNA
About the family: Transfer RNA (tRNA) molecules are approximately 80 nucleotides in length.
Source: Rfam by way of RNAcentral